UGCGCAGGCGGGACUGCAAGUUGGAUGUGAAAUACCGGAGCUCAACUCCGGAACUGCAUCCAAAACUGUAGUUCUUGAGUGGAGUAGAGGUAAGCGGAAUUCCGAGUGUAGCGGUGAAAUGCGUAGAUAUUCGGAGGAACACCAGUGGCGAAGGCGGCUUACUGGGCUCUAACUGACGCUGAGGCACGAAAGUGUGGGUAGCAAACA
Molecule: ribosomal RNA, 207 nt
Filed under: uncultured bacterium
Lineage: Bacteria
Description: partial 16S ribosomal RNA
Rfam family: Bacterial small subunit ribosomal RNA
Source: RNAcentral